RNAcentral lists this ribosomal RNA (406 nucleotides) under uncultured bacterium. Its description in RNAcentral is "bacterial SSU rRNA". It matches the Rfam family "Bacterial small subunit ribosomal RNA", at positions 1097 to 1501 of the family's 1533-position model. The record is from RNAcentral.
CGCAACCCCUGCUUUCAGUUACCAACGGGUCAUGCCGGGAACUCUGGAGAGACUGCCCAGGAGAACGGGGAGGAAGGUGGGGAUGACGUCAAGUCAGCAUGGCCUUUAUGCCUGGGGCUACACACGUGCUACAAUGGCCGGUACAAAGCGCUGCAAACCCGUAAGGGGGAGCCAAUCGCAAAAAACCGGCCUCAGUUCAGAUUGAGGUCUGCAACUCGACCUCAUGAAGGCGGAAUCGCUAGUAAUCCCGGAUCAGCACGCCGGGGUGAAUACGUUCCCGGGCCUUGUACACACCGCCCGUCACACCACGAAAGCCUGUUGUACCUGAAGUCGCCCAAGCCAACCGCAAGGAGGCAGGCGCCCACGGUAUGGCCGGUGAUUGGGGUGAAGUCGUAACAAGGUAAAG